AAACUAACAAGGAUUCCCCUAGUAGCGGCGAGUGAAGCGGGAAGAGCUCAAAUUUGUAAUCUGGCGUCUUUCAGGCGUCCGAGUUGUAAUCUAUAGAAGUGUUUUCCGUGCUGGACCAUGUCCAAGUCCCUUGGAACAGGGUAUCAAAGAGGGUGACAAUCCCGUACUUGAUAUGGCUACCAGUGCUCUGUGAUACACUUUCUACGAGUCGAGUUGUUUGGGAAUGCAGCUCAAAAUGGGUGGUAAAUUCCAUCUAAAGCUAAAUAUUGGCGAGAGACCGAUAGCGAACAAGUACCGUGAGGGAAAGAUGAAAAGCACUUUGGAAAGAGAGUUAAACAGUACGUGAAAUUGUUGAAAGGGAAACGAUUGAAGUCAGUCGUGUUCAUUGGACUCAGCCGGUUUUCGGUGUAUUUCCUUUGAACGGGUCAACAUCAGUUUUGUCCGGUGGAUAAAGGCAGGAAGAAAGUGGCUUGCUUGCAAGUGUUAUAGCUUUCUGUCACAUACACUGGGGGAGACUGAGGACUGCAGCUCGCCUUUUGGCCGGGGUUCGCCCACGUUCGAGCUUAGGAUGUUGACAUAAUGGCUUUAAACGAC
RNAcentral lists this ribosomal RNA (594 nucleotides) under Vanrija pseudolonga. RNAcentral's name for it is "eukaryotic LSU rRNA". It matches the Rfam family "Eukaryotic large subunit ribosomal RNA", at positions 62 to 648 of the family's 3401-position model. The record is from RNAcentral. Lineage: Eukaryota; Fungi; Basidiomycota; Tremellomycetes; Trichosporonales; Trichosporonaceae.